ACGGAGGAUGCGAGCGUUAUCCGGAUUCAUUGGGUUUAAAGGGUGCGUAGGCGGACUAUUAAGUCAGUGGUGAAAUCCUGCAGCUUAACUGCAGAACUGCCAUUGAUACUGAUAGCCUUGAGUUUGGUUAAGGUAGGCGGAAUGUGUAAUGUAGCGGUGAAAUGCGUAGAUAUUACGCGGAACACCAGUUGCGAAGGCAGCUUACUGGGCUGACACUGACGCUGAGGCACGAAAGCGUGGGGAGCAAACAG
This 251-nucleotide ribosomal RNA is filed under the name uncultured prokaryote. RNAcentral's name for it is "partial 16S rRNA". It matches the Rfam family "Bacterial small subunit ribosomal RNA", at positions 525 to 775 of the family's 1533-position model. The record is from RNAcentral.